UUUGCUUAAGUCUCCCAUAGAUUACCGUACAACAUUAAAAAGCAUACGUAAUUAUCUAAAAUGAAACUAAUGCCUUAAACAUGAUACCUCUAUUAUUAUUAUUAUUUUAUAACCUUAAUUUGAUAAACUAACAAAACAAAUCAUGAUUAGCCAUAUUAAGAGUUGAAACAGAGGGAUGUUAAUCAUUUCAUAAUUGCAUACGAAUUCAUUAUAACUAGUUUAAACAACUUUUGCAAAUUUUAAGUAUGAAGAAAUGUACCAACACUUNNN
Molecule: long non-coding RNA, 270 nt
Filed under: Solanum tuberosum (potato)
Lineage: Eukaryota; Viridiplantae; Streptophyta; Magnoliopsida; Solanales; Solanaceae
Description: long non-coding RNA (STUB_LNC001059)
Source: RNAcentral